Molecule: microRNA precursor, 78 nt
Filed under: Schistosoma haematobium
Lineage: Eukaryota; Metazoa; Platyhelminthes; Trematoda; Strigeidida; Schistosomatidae
Description: mir-3492 microRNA precursor family
Rfam family: mir-3492 microRNA precursor family
Source: Rfam by way of RNAcentral
UGCUUUUCGAAUCCGCUCAGAGAUUUUGUCAGACACCAACCCAUUAGGGCUGAUCAGAUUUCCAAGAUAAGUGAAGUU